This is a non-coding RNA of Paramuricea clavata, 694 nucleotides long. The record is from the annotation of a GenBank genome assembly. NCBI's taxonomy places the organism in Eukaryota, Metazoa, Cnidaria, Anthozoa, Malacalcyonacea, Plexauridae.
GCACAUUACAUUAAAAACAUAAAAGACAAGCAGACUUUAGUUGAUACUAUCUUUAACCUAGCAAACACCAAAAUCAAUGAUGAAAUUGUAAAUUAUGAAAUUCAAUUUGUGGCUUGUUCUUCUGCAUUAACUAACUGUGAAAGAAAAAAGGUUAUGAAAAACCACAGACAAAACUAUAUAAAUGACUUCAUUGAACCAGCUCUAAAAAAACAGAAGGUAGAAACAAAGCAGAUGAAAUACAAAAUGAUGGCGAAGGAGAAAAAACAAAAACUGCUUACUAAAAAUAUGAAGUAUAAACAAACAACGAGUAAAGAACAAAAGCAAAAUGUACUGGAGUGUAAAAGAGUAAAGUAUGAAGCAAUGGAUCAAUCAAAGAAAAAAGAGUUAAUUGCUAUCACUUCAAACAAAAUCAUGUCAAAUCGCAUGUCGUUGGAUCCAAAACAAAAAAACAAUUUGCUGAAUAGAGUGAAAGAUAAACGGAUGGAAAAGAAAUCUCUAACUCAUGAUAUUGACACAUACAUUGAAAAAUUUAAAAAACAAAUUAAAGCUGGUCCAUUUUACAUAUGCUGUGUCUGUAACCGAACAUUAUAUAAAAAGUCAGUAGUAAUCCUGCAGAAAAAUAAAUAUCCUCGCCAGGAUUGUUUCAUGCUUCAAUGUUCUUUUGAUAGCAAAGAGUACAUCUGCAAAACUUGCC